Molecule: ribosomal RNA, 300 nt
Filed under: uncultured Methanocella sp.
Lineage: Archaea; Methanobacteriati; Methanobacteriota; Methanomicrobia; Methanocellales; Methanocellaceae
Description: bacterial SSU rRNA
Rfam family: Bacterial small subunit ribosomal RNA
Source: RNAcentral
GCUAACUACGUGCAAGGAGCGGGGUUAAUACGUAGGGUGCAAGCGUUAAUCGGAAGUGCGGGGCGGAAAGCGUGCGCAGGCGGUUUUGUAAGUCUGUCGUGAAAGCCCCGGGCUCAACCUGGGAAUUGCGAUGGAGACUGCAAGGCUUGAAGCUGGCAGAGGGGGGUAGAAUUCCACGUGUAGCAGUGAAAUGCGUAGAGAUGUGGAGGAACACCGAUGGCGAAGGCAGCCCCCUGGGACAAGAUUGACGCUCAUGCACGAAAGCGUGGGGAGCAAACAGGAUUAGAUUCCCGAGUAGUC